AAGCCCAGCGCUGAAUCCAUCGACCACUGGUCGCUUGGAAUUGUAGCGUAUAGGUGUGGCUAUCCGAUCGUUUCUAGACGGUCGGUUGGUCGCUCCUGGGAGUAGGGUUGUGUGGGAUCGCAACCUGAAGUUGGUGAUGAAUCUCACCUUGGCGAAAUAUGACCUCGAACCCGAUAGCAAACAAGUGCCGUGAGG
RNAcentral lists this non-coding RNA (195 nucleotides) under Anisakis simplex (herring worm). RNAcentral's name for it is "Eukaryotic large subunit ribosomal RNA". It matches the Rfam family "Eukaryotic large subunit ribosomal RNA", at positions 105 to 358 of the family's 3401-position model. Lineage: Eukaryota; Metazoa; Nematoda; Chromadorea; Rhabditida; Anisakidae. The record is from Rfam by way of RNAcentral.